GAGGAUAUAGCUUAGUGGAAGAGUACAUGCUUAGCACGCAUAGGUCCUGGGCUCAAUCCCCAGUACCUCCU
Molecule: transfer RNA, 71 nt
Filed under: Camelus bactrianus (Bactrian camel)
Lineage: Eukaryota; Metazoa; Chordata; Mammalia; Artiodactyla; Camelidae
Also listed under: 1 other name
Rfam family: tRNA
About the family: Transfer RNA (tRNA) molecules are approximately 80 nucleotides in length. Their secondary structure includes four short double-helical elements and three loops (D, anti-codon, and T loops).
Source: Rfam by way of RNAcentral